RNAcentral lists this small RNA (100 nucleotides) under Sinorhizobium meliloti 2011. Its description in RNAcentral is "putative ncRNA". Lineage: Bacteria; Pseudomonadati; Pseudomonadota; Alphaproteobacteria; Hyphomicrobiales; Rhizobiaceae. The record is from RNAcentral.
CGGCAAGAUCGAAAGCCUGAAAGUCGAAUAUCUGAAGUAAGCAUCGGUCUCGCUGGUCGCUCGGAGGAGCGGCGAACUCCCAGUUCGCCGCUCCACUUUC